This 296-nucleotide ribosomal RNA is filed under the name uncultured soil bacterium. RNAcentral describes it as "partial 16S ribosomal RNA". It matches the Rfam family "Bacterial small subunit ribosomal RNA", at positions 26 to 323 of the family's 1533-position model. The record is from RNAcentral.
AGGAUAAACGCUGGCGGCGUGCCUUAUGCAUGCAAGUCGAACGAGGUUAGAAUUUCGGUUCGAAGCCUAGUGGCGCACGGGUGAGUAACACGUACGUGACCUGUCCCAACGUGGGGGAUAACUAGCCGAAAGGUUGGCUAAUACCGCAUGUGGACACCCCUUGGAAGGGGAUGUCGAAAGCAGCAAUGCGCGAUGGGAGGGGCGUGCGGCCGAUUAGCUAGUUGGUGUGGUAACGGCGCACCAAGGCGAUGAUCGGUAGCUGGUCUGAGAGGAUGGUCAGCCACACUGGGACUGAG